Molecule: long non-coding RNA, 461 nt
Filed under: Brassica napus (rape)
Lineage: Eukaryota; Viridiplantae; Streptophyta; Magnoliopsida; Brassicales; Brassicaceae
Description: long non-coding RNA (BNAP_LNC007630)
Source: RNAcentral
UCAAAGUCGAAGAAGAAAAAGAAGUUUGUUAGUCAACCAACUUCAAAUGAGCUCGUCUUCGGAGAUUUUUAUUUCGUCUACCUUAACUCUUUUCUCCUUUCAAGAGUUGUAGAUCUAUAGAUCUGUAAUAAUAGUGACAAAGAGUGAGUUUUUAAUCAUUUUCCUUGUCAUUUUUUUGCUUAUACUUGAUAACGUCUCUCUAAAUUUCUUGAAAGUUUGUAACUUUGAAGAACAUUUGGAAAGAGUAGCACAAUAUAGUUCAAAAAACUUAACAGAAUGUUUGGAGGGACAAAGAGAACAUAAUCCAAGACACAUUUGAAUGGGAAAUACUUUGUGACUAUAAAAGAUGUAAGAGUCUGCUACUGAUUUGGAAAAAGAAGCUUUGAAUAUUUGUAUGAUUUGUCUACAAACAAUCUUGUCCACAAAAUUGUACAUAAAAUUUGUAAGACUUUAAGAUUUUU